AACGAACGCUGGCGGCAUGCCUAACACAUGCAAGUCGAACGAGAUCUUCGGGUCUAGUGGCGCACGGGUGCGUAACGCGUGGGAAUCUGCCCUUUGGUUCGGAAUAACAGUUGGAAACGACUGCUAAUACCGGAUGGUGACGAAAGUCCAAAGAUUUAUCGCCAGAGGAUGAGCCCGCGUAGGAUUAGCUAGUUGGUGUGGUAAAGGCGCACCAAGGCGACGAUCCUUAGCUGGUCUGAGAGGAUGAUCAGCCACACUGGGACUGAGACACGGCCCAGACUCCUACGGGAGGCAGAAGCGGGGAAUAUUGGACAAUGGGCGAAAGCCUGAUCCAGCAAUGCCGCGUGAGUGAUGAAGGCCUUAGGGUUGUAAAGCUCUUUUACCCGGGAUGAUAAUGACAGUACCGGGAGAAUAAGCUCCGGCUAACUCCGUGCCAGCAGCCGCCGUAA
Molecule: ribosomal RNA, 449 nt
Filed under: uncultured bacterium
Lineage: Bacteria
Description: partial 16S ribosomal RNA
Rfam family: Bacterial small subunit ribosomal RNA
Source: RNAcentral